AAUGGAUGUCAGUGAUAAUGCAUUGUGAUUGAAACGAAUAGAAAGAGAGAAUUGUGCUUGGCCGUUGGCUUUGACUUCGCUUGACUGACACAAUUUCCCAAAGGCCUUUGUUCGCCGAUUGUGGAUCAGUUGGUCAGGAAAAGCCGAUGAAAAGCAAAGGCCAAUUGUUAUUCUUUGGAAGAAGCUGUCAACAGCAAGGCGUGUCUAAGAACAGACAACAGAGCUCAAUGCCGUGAUAACCCCGAAGCGACAAAACUUUCAAUGGGUUUUUUCCCCGAAGAAGCAGCCGCUAUGCAGAUCACGUUUUCCCAGACCAAUACCAAUACCAUUACCAAAACCAAGACCAAGAGCAAGACCAGAAAAGGC
Molecule: small RNA, 366 nt
Filed under: Drosophila erecta
Lineage: Eukaryota; Metazoa; Arthropoda; Insecta; Diptera; Drosophilidae
Description: GG26983
Source: RNAcentral